Molecule: ribosomal RNA, 269 nt
Filed under: uncultured bacterium
Lineage: Bacteria
Description: partial 16S ribosomal RNA
Rfam family: Bacterial small subunit ribosomal RNA
Source: RNAcentral
UAGGGAAUCUUCCACAAUGGACGCAAGUCUGAUGGAGCAACGCCGCGUGAGUGAAGAAGGCUUUCGGGUCGUAAAACUCUGUUAUUGAAGAAGAACGUGUGUGACAGUAACUGGUCAUGCAGUGACGGUAUUCAAUCAGAAAGUCACGGCUAACUACGUGCCAGCAGCCGCGGUAAUACGUAGGUGGCAAGCGUUGUCCGGAUUUAUUGGGCGUAAAGCGAGUGCAGGCGGUCUUUUAANUCUGAUGUGAAAGCCUUCGGCUUAACCGA